GGACGCCAGUAGAGAUAUUCGUUCCCUUGUGGCCUGUGUGCAGGUGGUGCAUGGCUGUCGUCAGCUCGUGUCGUGAGAUGUUGGGUUAAGUCCCGCAACGAGCGCAACCCUUGUCUCAUGUUGCCAGCGCGUUAUGGCGGGGACUCGUGAGAGACUGCCGGGGUCAACUCGGAGGAAGGUGGGGAUGACGUCAAGUCAUCAUGCCCCUUAUGUCCAGGGCUUCACACAUGCUACAAUGGCCGGUACAAAGGGCUGCAAUGCCGUAAGGUUAAGCGAAUCCUUUAAAGCCGGUCUCAGUUCGGAUCGGGGUCUGCAACUCGACCCCGUGAAGUCGGAGUCGCUAGUAAUCGCAGAUCAGCAACGCUGCGGUGAAUA
RNAcentral lists this ribosomal RNA (375 nucleotides) under uncultured Mycobacterium sp. Its description in RNAcentral is "bacterial SSU rRNA". It matches the Rfam family "Bacterial small subunit ribosomal RNA", at positions 992 to 1368 of the family's 1533-position model. The record is from RNAcentral. Lineage: Bacteria; Bacillati; Actinomycetota; Actinomycetes; Mycobacteriales; Mycobacteriaceae.